AGGGCGGUGAUGUUAAUGGCAGCAUGGUAGUCUCCAAAACUACUCGUGAGGGUUCGACUCCUUCCCGCCCUG
Molecule: non-coding RNA, 72 nt
Organism: Microgenomates bacterium 39_7
Lineage: Bacteria; Candidatus Microgenomatota
Source: Rfam